This 73-nucleotide transfer RNA is filed under the name Thermovenabulum gondwanense. RNAcentral's name for it is "Thermovenabulum sp. R270 tRNA". It matches the Rfam family "tRNA". From Rfam's summary of the family: Transfer RNA (tRNA) molecules are approximately 80 nucleotides in length. Their secondary structure includes four short double-helical elements and three loops (D, anti-codon, and T loops). Lineage: Bacteria; Bacillati; Bacillota; Clostridia; Thermosediminibacterales; Thermosediminibacteraceae. The record is from Rfam by way of RNAcentral.
GCUGAUGUAGCUCAGCCGGCAGAGCAGCGCACUCGUAAUGCGCAGGUCGAGGGUUCGAAUCCCUCCAUCAGCU